GAGCUCGCUUCUGCAGCACAUAUCCUAAAAUUGGAAUGAUACGAGAAGAUUAGCAUGGCUCCUGAGCAAGGAUGACAUGAAAAUUCAUGAAGCUUUCCGUAUUUUA
This 106-nucleotide small nuclear RNA is filed under the name Chinchilla lanigera (long-tailed chinchilla). The record is from RNAcentral. Lineage: Eukaryota; Metazoa; Chordata; Mammalia; Rodentia; Chinchillidae.